UACGGAGGUGGCAAGCGUUACUCGGAAUCAUUGGGUGUAAAGGGCAAGUAGGCGGUAUGUUAAGUGAGGGGUGAAAUCCUGCGGCUCAAUCGCAGAAAUGCCUUUCAAACUAACAUACUUGAGGCCGGAAGAGGGAAACGGAAUUAGCAGUGUAAGGGUGAAAUCUGUAGAUAUUGCUAAGAACACCGACGGCGAAGGCAGUUUCCUGGUCCGGAUCUGACGCUAAAUUGCGAAAGCUAGGGUAGCAAACGGAAUUAGAUACUCCGGUAGUCCUAGCCGUAAACGAUGAGCACUAGGUGUUGGGCCUUCGGGCUCAGUGCCGCAGCUAACGCAUUAAGUGCUCCACCUGGGGACUACGGCCGCAAGGCUAAAACUCAAAGGAAUUGACGGGGACCCGCACAAGCGGUGGAACAUGUGGUUUAAUUCGAUGCUACGCGAAAAACCUCACCAAGGUUUGACAUAUAGUGAGUAGGGUAUCUGAAAGGUGACCGACCCGUUAAGUCGGGAAGCUAUACAGGUGCUGCAUGGCUGUCGUCAGCUCGUGUCGUGAGAUGUUGGGUUAAGUCCCGCAACGAGCGCAACCAUUGCCCUAUGUUGCCACCAUGCCAAUGAGACUUCGGUCUCGGGCAUGAGCACUCUUAGGGGACUGCCUGGAAUAACCAGGAGGAAGGUGGAGAUGACGUCAAGUCAGUACGGCCCUUAUACCUUGGGCUACACACGUGUUACAAUGGUCGGUACAAUGGGUUGCCAACCCGCGAGGGGGAGCUAAUCUCUAAAAACCGACCCCAGUUCGGAUAGAAGUCUGCAAUUCGACUUCUUGAAGCCGGAAUCGCUAGUAAUGGAAGAUCAGCUCGCUUCCGUGAAUACGUUCCCGGGUCU
RNAcentral lists this ribosomal RNA (879 nucleotides) under uncultured bacterium. RNAcentral's name for it is "SSU rRNA". It matches the Rfam family "Bacterial small subunit ribosomal RNA", at positions 524 to 1381 of the family's 1533-position model. The record is from RNAcentral.